RNAcentral lists this ribosomal RNA (492 nucleotides) under uncultured bacterium. RNAcentral's name for it is "partial 16S ribosomal RNA". It matches the Rfam family "Bacterial small subunit ribosomal RNA", at positions 30 to 507 of the family's 1533-position model. The record is from RNAcentral.
AUUGAACGCUGGCGGCAUGCUUUACACAUGCAAGUCGAACGGUAACAGGCCUUCGGGUGCUGACGAGUGGCGCACGGGUGAGUAAUGCAUCGGAACGUGCCCAGAGGUGGGGGAUAACGCAGCGAAAGCUGUGCUAAUACCGCAUGUGAUCUGAGGAUGAAAGCGGGGGACCAAGCAGCAAUGUUUGGCCUCGCGCCUCUGGAGCGGCCGAUGUCAGAUUAGGUAGUUGGUGGGGUAAAGGCCUACCAAGCCGACGAUCUGUAGCUGGUCUGAGAGGACGACCAGCCACACUGGGACUGAGACACGGCCCAGACUCCUACGGGAGGCAGCAGUGGGGAAUUUUGGACAAUGGGCGCAAGCCUGAUCCAGCAAUGCCGCGUGCGGGAAGAAGGCCCUCGGGUUGUAAACCGCUUUUGUACGGAACGAAAAGGCUCUGGCUAAUACCUGGGGCUGAUGACGGUACCGUAAGAAUAAGCACCGGCUAACUACGUG